CCCCUCGUGGCUCAGUGGUAGAGCAACGGUGCGUAAUGCCAGGGACCCGGGUUCGAUUUCCGGCGAGGGCG
This 71-nucleotide transfer RNA is filed under the name Agrilus planipennis (emerald ash borer). It matches the Rfam family "tRNA". From Rfam's summary of the family: Transfer RNA (tRNA) molecules are approximately 80 nucleotides in length. Their secondary structure includes four short double-helical elements and three loops (D, anti-codon, and T loops). Further hydrogen bonds mediate the characteristic L-shaped molecular structure. tRNAs have two regions of fundamental functional importance: the anti-codon, which is responsible for specific mRNA codon recognition, and the 3' end, to which the tRNAs corresponding amino acid is attached (by aminoacyl-tRNA synthetases). tRNAs cope with the degeneracy of the genetic code in two manners: having more than one tRNA (with a specific anti-codon) for a particular amino acid; and 'wobble' base-pairing, i.e. permitting non-standard base-pairing at the 3rd anti-codon position. The record is from Rfam by way of RNAcentral. Lineage: Eukaryota; Metazoa; Arthropoda; Insecta; Coleoptera; Buprestidae.